This 301-nucleotide ribosomal RNA is filed under the name uncultured bacterium. RNAcentral describes it as "partial 16S ribosomal RNA". It matches the Rfam family "Bacterial small subunit ribosomal RNA", at positions 509 to 807 of the family's 1533-position model. The record is from RNAcentral.
CAGCAGCCACGGUAAUACGUAGGUGGCAAGCGUUGUCCGGAAUUAUUGGGCGUAAAGGGCUCGCAGGCGGUUUCUUAAGUCUGAUGUGAAAGCCCCCGGCUCAACCGGGGAGGGUCAUUGGAAACUGGGAAACUUGAGUGCAGAAGAGGAGAGUGGAAUUCCACGUGUAGCGGUGAAAUGCGUAGAGAUGUGGAGGAACACCAGUGGCGAAGGCGACUCUCUGGUCUGUAACUGACGCUGAGGAGCGAAAGCGUGGGGAGCGAACAGGAUCAGAUACCCCUGUAGUCCCUGUCUCUUAUAC